RNAcentral lists this long non-coding RNA (443 nucleotides) under Setaria viridis. RNAcentral's name for it is "long non-coding RNA (SVIR_LNC003498)". The record is from RNAcentral. Lineage: Eukaryota; Viridiplantae; Streptophyta; Magnoliopsida; Poales; Poaceae.
GGGAGUACCUUUAGACACUCCAACUAUGAUGAUCUUGACGGCAUCAAUUACAGUGCCACCGAAGUUUUGUAGUUGUCAUAUCGCAAUGUGAAAUGAGAAAGAAAGGGGGAGAUCAAGAAAACAUAGUCUCAUGCAAAAUGUGGGUUAAACGAGAAAACCAAUGAACUACACACUACUGAACUUUACAUUGGAAGAGAGUGGUAUCUACAUGAUAGAUAGGAAAAAAUAUGAUUAGUGGAUAGGAGAUAGAGAGUUGAAUGACUGACUAAUUGCUUAGGAUAUGGAUCCUAUGCACCUUAUGACCCUCUUGAUUUGAGCAGGAGUCCAUCAUGAACUGAUGCAAAACUGGUGAAGUGGGGAUGAUUUGUUCCACUGACUCAAUCGUGACAGCAUGAGAAAAAAAUAGCAAAUUUACUUGGAUCCAGGAUUAUAUUCCUGAAAUU